GCUUAAUAAUCCUUCAGUCUUUAAAGGUAUUUUUAUUUAAAGUAAGAUGUGAUAAUGAGGCUAACUGUACAUACAUAUAUUUACCUCUUUCCUAUGCACAACUUAGAAAAUAUGUUGUAUAUGUUGAAGCAGCAAUAAAGUAGAUGAGUAGGAAAUUGUUCGGGUAGGGGACAUGGCUCAGUACCUACAGUGCUUGGUCAGUACCAUUAUAGGACUAAUAAAUAUCCAGUGGGUGCGGCAGCCUCAUCAGGACCCAGAAGGUAGGACUCCAGAGCAAGCUGGUUGGCCAGUGUGAGUUUGGGCUUUGAUUGAAAGGCCUACUUCAAAAAGAAUAAGAUUAAUAGUAAGGAAGAUAUUUAGAUUACCUCUGUUCUCCACAGAUUGACACACACACAUGAAGCUUUACACAAGUGGGCCAACACACAUGUAUACAUACAAUCACAGCACACACACAUGAAAUGAAAUGAAAAAGGAAAAAAAUACUUUGAGAAGUGAGCUUGAGGAAGGAAGCUAACUAAUACUUCCUUACUCCCUGCCUGAUCAAUCCACAAAAUUAAUAAAAUUCACAUUUUCAGCUAGAUAGUAACUAAAAAACUAUAGGCUGCAAAAUAGCAUUUUCACUGGCAAAGCAUUAUGAUCUUCAUAUGUGACUGAGGUGCUCAAGCCUGUCUCAGGCUGUGAUCCAUCUUCCUACAGUGUUCUUCUCUUCAGUUUCUUCAGUUACAUUGUUCUUCAUAAACUGAAGCUUUUAAGUCUCUCACACUGUGCCUCUGUUAAUUUGGAAUAAUUCAGGAAUAAUUUUUUGUGUUUGUUUGUUUGUUUGUUCAUUUUGUUUGUUUUUGUUUUGUUUUUGAGACAGGGUUUCAGGGUUUCUCUGAGUAGCCCUGGCUGUCCUGGAACUCACUCUGUAGACCAGGUUGGUCUCGAACUCAGAAAUCCGCCUGUCUCUGCCUCCCAUUAACUCCCUAACUUCAACAUCGCCCGGCUCUGUAUCAUUGGACAAAUUGGUAUGUUUAUCUCCCAUAAUCUCCCUUGUCUGUAAACUGAAGCUACUCUGCAUUCCUCUCUGUUUGAAGUUUCUGUUUUGAAGCUAAAUAAAUCAGGCUGUUACUCAGUGUCUCUAUAUUUAACUAAACUAUGCAUCUAUCUAACAACUGGAGACAGCAACUAGACACAAAAUUCUAUUUUAUAAUAAUAUCGGAAUCUAUACCUAAUUUCCAACUAUUGCUAAGCCAACUAGAUUCAGUGUGAAUCCAGCCUGAAUAAUCUGGAUUAAAUAUAUUAUAAGCGUAACAGAACUCCAUCUUGAUUCAAUAAUUCAAGGUAUUAUGAAUAUAAACACAACAAAUGGGUGUUAUCUGAUCAGUCUUGGUUGGGAGCAAUAGAGAAAGAAACUUAAAAUGACAAUGGCAAGCAUCUCAGCCUGCAAAGCCCUGGGAAGGGACACAAAAGCAGCCAGAAGCAGUAGGUACAGGGAUGACCAAGCCAUGGCUGUGGUUAGGUGUUACACACCACCAAGGACAGACAAGCUCCACCACCUGGGGAUUUUUUUAAAAUGAGCUAUUUAUUGAAAUAGAAGUUACAAUUUACACAGACAGCCAGGUUGUGGUGGUAGCAUAUACCUUUAAACCCAGUACUUGGGCAGUAGAGGCAGGCAGAUCUCUGAGUAAGAGUCCAGCCUGGUCUACAGAAUGAGUUCCAGUACAAGCAGAGUUACAUAGAGAAACAGCCUCAGAAAAAAAGAAGUUAUAUACUCUAUUUUUAUGCCUUUUAUUCAAUUCUGUGAGUGUUGAUCCACGUUCUGCUAUUAAAGUAGCACAGAUAUAGAGGUUAAAAAUGAGGCUGUAAAGCAGCCAUCCUAGUGAGUCCCUGAACCUGUGACUGAUGAGUGCUGAUUCUCACUCUAAUGCUCUACUUGGUCAUACUCCUCACUGAGCUUUCAGUAGCCUCUAGAGCUUGCCUUUGUGGGCACAGUUGGCUCACCCUUCUGCCCUGCUCUCUAGUACCCCUGGAUCCCACCUGUGGCUGGACUUACCUGCUUCUCAUCUGUAGCAGUUGUAAUUCCUGUGAUAUGAUAUGAAAAUAGUCCUGCAGAUGCAACUGUCUGAUUUCUUAUCCUUAAAACUCCUGAGGUUGGAUUGUAGGCUGCCUGUAACAGCAAGUUAGCAAAUUUUCAUGCCUGCAUUGCCUUUGCAUGGAUAGUCUGUGUAUGGUUUAUCAGAUCAUCAGUUGCAACACAUUUGGUAAUU
Molecule: long non-coding RNA, 2249 nt
Filed under: Mus musculus (house mouse)
Lineage: Eukaryota; Metazoa; Chordata; Mammalia; Rodentia; Muridae
Description: long non-coding RNA chr3:141561702-141563951
Source: RNAcentral